GUGUAGAACGCCACUUGCGGGGUGUCGGCUAUGUUUGACAUGGGGUGGCAAUUUUGAAGCGACGAAAAAGUAAGAAGGUAAGUUCAAGCAUCAAAAUUUCUUAUUUCUAGAACUCUCAGUACCAUAUAAUGUAUUGCACGGAAGGAACCGCAACAUAAUCUAUUUCCUGAAAGCAGAAGCAGUCGUUUUCAGUGCUCAGUUUUCUCAAACACCUCGCCCUAGUUUUCCGUGUUGCAGAUUUUGAGGCUUUAUAUGCAAAUUUCGGUAUAAAAAACUACUUUACACAGCUACCCUCCGUAUCAUUUAUAUAGAAUUGUAUUCCUCUCAUUGACUUAUACCAAAUACCAGUUUCUUAGUUAAAAUUAAUUGGUUUUAAAACUGUUAUUCAUCAAAAUAUAAAGUGUCGCUCGGGGUGUCAGAUUUUGCGUCGCAAGGGGUAGAGGCUUGUCAUAAAAAAAAGAAUACAUUUUCUUAUAAAUCGAUCUCUAUCUGAUACUUUUUAAUUCAAACACACCUACACAAAUAGGAACAUAAAUGUAACAGAAAUUCAACCUAGAAAAACACAGGUUACAUCAAAUUCUUCAAAUUUUAUUCAAUUCCGGUUCGUUUAGAGAUAUGUAUAUAGUCAGAGUAGACCUUCAAAGUAGAUAUGAUAUGAUAGAUGUGUAACAGAAAACGGAUAGUUCUAGCUGGGCGAUUACGAACGAAAUAACUGUCUUGAAUCAUUUUUUCUUGUAAACCUGUUCCGUUGUAUAUUUGUGUACAAGUCGUUGUUUUCUCAUUGACAAUUGUAGUAUCAUCGUCUUCAGGAUUACUUGAAGUUGUGUUGUCAUUCGCUGAAAAAGAUGCCGGUGAGUGUUUCAUUGGAGAGAGUGUUCUAAUUCUUUUAGGAGUAAUGGAUUUUUGCGGCGUGCACGAGUGCUUUUUAGAUGAACCUGGUGAUGAACUAUGAUGCAUUUUGGCUGGUGGAGGCUUCGGGCAUAUCUUAUAUUGAGGACUAUUUUGUGAUGUUUUGGUUUAUUGAGCCAUAGCCUUGACUUUUUUUUACCAUGAUAGUGACUGAAAAGGAAAAGAAAUCGUUUACCAGCUUGAAAACUAAAUAUUUUAAGCCAUUUUUUUACUAUGAAUGAAAUCAAAAGCACAUGUUUUAUAAGACCAAAAACAGGCAAAAUGAAAAACCCUUAUUUUGUCAUGGUAAAGUAGAUGUGAAUGAAAUCAAAAGCAUAUAUUUUAUAAGACCAAAAACAGGCAAAAUGAAAAAUCCUUGUUUUGUCAUGGUUAAAGUAGAUGUGAUUGAAAUAAAAUGUAUCAUAUGAAGACUAAUUUACAAGCAAAUAUGUAUUUUUUAUGACAAGCCUCUACCCCUUGCGACGCAAAAUCUGACACCCCGAGCGACACUUUAUAUUUUGAUGAAUAACAGUUUUAAAACCAAUUAAUUUUAACUAAGAAACUGGUAUUUGGUAUAAGUCAAUGAGAGGAAUACAAUUCUAUAUAAAUGAUACGGGGGAUAGCUGUGUAAAGUAGUUUUUUUAUACCGAAAUUUGCAUAUAAAGCCUCAAAAUCUGCAACACGGAAAACUAGGGCGAGGUGUUUGAGAAAACUGAGCACUGAAAACGACUGCUUCUGCUUUCAGGAAAUAGAUUAUGUUGCGGUUCCUUCCGUGCAAUACAUUAUAUGGUACUGAGAGUUCUAGAAAUAAGAAAUUUUGAUGCUUGAACUUACCUUCUUACUUUUUCGUCGCUUCAAAAUUGCCACCCCAUGUCAAACAUAGCCGACACCCC
This 1781-nucleotide long non-coding RNA is filed under the name Mytilus galloprovincialis (Mediterranean mussel). The record is from RNAcentral. Lineage: Eukaryota; Metazoa; Mollusca; Bivalvia; Mytilida; Mytilidae.